GCGUGGAGCAUGUGGUUUAAUUCGAAGCAACGCGAAGAACCUUUACCAGGUCUUGACAUCCCGAUGCUAUUCUAGAGAUAGAAGUUACUUGGUACAUCGGUGGACAGGUGGUGCAUGGUUGUCGUCAGCUCGUGUCGUGAGAUGUUGGGUUAAGUCCCGCAACGAGCGCAACCCCUAUUGUUAGUUGCCAUCAUUCAGUUGGGCACUCUAGCGAGACUGCCGGUAAUAAACCGGAGGAAGUGGGGAUGACGUCAAAUCAUCAUGCCCCUUAUGACCUGGGCUACACACGUGCUACAAUGGUUGGUACAACGAGUUGCGAGUCGGUGACGGCGAGCUAAUCUCUUAAAGCCAAUCUCAGUUCGGAUUGUAGGCUGCAACUCGCCUACAUGAAGUCGGAAUCGCUAGUAAUCGCGGAUCAGCACGCCGCGGUGAAUACGUUCCCGGGCCUU
This 449-nucleotide ribosomal RNA is filed under the name uncultured Streptococcus sp. Its description in RNAcentral is "bacterial SSU rRNA". It matches the Rfam family "Bacterial small subunit ribosomal RNA", at positions 929 to 1382 of the family's 1533-position model. Lineage: Bacteria; Bacillati; Bacillota; Bacilli; Lactobacillales; Streptococcaceae. The record is from RNAcentral.